GCCGGGGUGGCGGAAUUGGUAGACGCACGAGACUCAAAAUCUCGCGGUGGCGACACCUUGUCGGUUCGAGUCCGACUCCCGGUACCA
This 87-nucleotide transfer RNA is filed under the name Candidatus Babelota bacterium. RNAcentral describes it as "tRNA-Leu". It matches the Rfam family "tRNA". Rfam says of the family: Transfer RNA (tRNA) molecules are approximately 80 nucleotides in length. The record is from RNAcentral. RNAcentral also lists the same sequence under 1 other name.